Long non-coding RNA from Gasterosteus aculeatus aculeatus (three-spined stickleback), 1299 nucleotides. The record is from Ensembl. NCBI's taxonomy places the organism in Eukaryota, Metazoa, Chordata, Actinopteri, Perciformes, Gasterosteidae.
UUGUUGCGUCAAUCUCCGGUCACAAGCCGCACAGAAAACUCAAGGCCCAUAUCCACCCCGGACAGUCGGAGCGCACCCAGACUGCAGGGGGCGACGAUGCGGCUAAUGGAGAUUCCACUCACAGGAAGUGCCUGCGUACGAACAGGAAAUGCAUGGCAUAAAAUGUUUGUGGAGAGCUCGGAUGGCCCUCUCACUCGGCCCUGAGGAAAAGGACACUGUGGCCACGGCUCCUAAUCUCCCAGAGACGCAACUGGUUAUCAACCUGCUCUGUUCUUUGUCUGAUCCACCAAACCACCCUUAAGAGGAAUAAAGGAUCAUAAAAUAAACAGUUCUCGAGUUGUCCUUUGUGUCCACCGGAGAGAAGGCUCUUUUCAAGUUUGGGCAGAGCCGUGAUUAAUCAGAAAAAACACACGAAACUUGACAGUUGAUAACCAGCGUGGCAGCAAGAACAAGGAUCAAAGGCCUGAAGUCAAGCUGUCGACGCAAAGGAAGAAUUGACUGGAAACGUUUUCACCAUGGCAAAGGAAACUCUUGGGAAAACGGUCAAGCAACUGAAGCAAGAGCGAACCUUGGCUAAAUCUGCUUUCACUAAGCAAGCAAACUACCUGAACAAAGCUUCAGAUGGGAUGAUUAAACAUGAACUUCUAGAAGAGUUCAGCAAGCUCAGUUCCUUGGCAAGGCAUGUCAGCGAUGCUAAUGAAGACUACAGGGCUAGACUACUGGCUGAAGUAGGAACUGAAGAGGACGAAGAAGUAAAGCUCAACGAGCACCAGCAGGCUGAGCUUGAAAGGACAAUGGAAGAGUGCGACAUGAGACUGGGGAACAUCCGUGAGGCAGUCCAAUCCAACCUCUGGCUAAGAUAUGGUAAAGAGGAGGUAGACUUUGCAAUCCAAGAAGCGGAAAAAGCCUGUGACAGAGCCCAAGCAAGCCCCAUCACUGCUAUCAAUCGGGACGGCUAUGAACUACAGCUGGAGAGAGCGAGGAGGCUGAUCCAUAAUACAACUAUAAGCCUGAAAGACUGGGAAAAAUGGAUUCCACAUGUUCAGGCAGCAGACCUGAAGGGCAGAUUGAAAGACCUGAGAAUAUUUGGGAGCAACCUUGAGGCCAGGAGAGCAGAAUUCCUCACCGCACAAAGAAUUGCAGAAGACGAAAGAAGAGGUCCGGACCAACCGCUUCAACCAACAGCAGUCCCACAGCCUGUGGUGAGAAUAAAGCCAACAUGUCUACCCAAAUUCACUGGGAUUAGGAGAAAUUUCCAUAGAUGGCAGAGAGACUGGGAAAGUCUGCAAAAGCAGGGAG